This 445-nucleotide ribosomal RNA is filed under the name uncultured soil bacterium. RNAcentral's name for it is "bacterial SSU rRNA". It matches the Rfam family "Bacterial small subunit ribosomal RNA", at positions 26 to 518 of the family's 1533-position model. The record is from RNAcentral.
AGAACGAACGCUGGCGGCAUGCCUAACACACGCAAGUCGCACGGUCCUUUCGGGGGCAGUGGCGAACGGGUGAGUAACGCGUGGGAACCUGCCCUGGAGUGGGGGAUAACCAUUGGAAACGGUGGCUAAUACCGCAUGUGCCCUGAGGGGCAAAGCAGCAAUGCGCUCUGGGAGGGGCCCGCGUCCGAUUAGCUAGUUGGUGGGGUGACGGCCUACCAAGGCGACGAUCGGUAGCUGGUCUGAGAGGAUGAUCAGCCACACUGGGACUGAGACACGGCCCAGACUCCUACGGGAGGCAGCAGUGGGGAACAUUGGACAAUGGGCGCAAAGCCUGAUCCAGCAAAUGCCGCGUGCGUGAUGAAGGCCUCGGUUGUAAGAGCUUCGCCACGACGACUGAUGACGUAGUGGAGAAGAAGACCCGCAACUCCGCGCCACGACGAGCCGC